Molecule: ribosomal RNA, 497 nt
Filed under: uncultured bacterium
Lineage: Bacteria
Description: partial 16S ribosomal RNA
Rfam family: Bacterial small subunit ribosomal RNA
Source: RNAcentral
GAUGAACGCUGGCGGCGUGCCUAAUACAUGCAAGUCGAGCGAACAGACGAGGAGCUUGCUCCUCUGACGUUAGCGGCGGACGGGUGAGUAACACGUGGAUAACCUACCUAUAAUACUGGGAUAACUUCGGGAAACCGGAUCUAAUACCGGAUAAUAUAUUGAACCGCAUGGUUCAAUAGUGAAAGACGGUUUUGCUGUCACUUAUAGAUGGAUCCGCGCCGCAUUAGCUAGUUGGUAAGGUAACGGCUUACCAGGGCAACGAUGCGUAGCCGACCUGAGAGGGUGAUAGGCCGCCCUGGAACGUAGACGCGCACAAGACUACUGAGGGACGGCGCAGAAGGCAACCUGACGCAGCAGGCGAGAGUCUGACGGAGCGACGGGGCGCGUGUGACGACGGCGCUGGGUGGGUAAAGCUCUGCUACUAGGGAUGAACACAUGUGUCCGUAAAUAUGGACGUUCUGACGGUACCUAAUGAGAAAGCAACGGCUAACUACGUG